Phrynosoma platyrhinos (Desert horned lizard) is the source of this 72-nucleotide non-coding RNA. The record is from the annotation of a GenBank genome assembly. NCBI's taxonomy places the organism in Eukaryota, Metazoa, Chordata, Lepidosauria, Squamata, Phrynosomatidae.
GGAGCCUUAGUUCAGUGGUAGAAUAUGUGCUUUCCAUGCAGAAGAUCCCAGGUUCAAUCUGUGGCAUAUCCA